RNAcentral lists this ribosomal RNA (253 nucleotides) under uncultured bacterium. RNAcentral describes it as "partial 16S ribosomal RNA". It matches the Rfam family "Bacterial small subunit ribosomal RNA", at positions 524 to 776 of the family's 1533-position model. The record is from RNAcentral.
UACGUAGGCAGCGAGCGUUGUUCGGAGUUACUGGGCGUAAAGGGUGUGUAGGCGGUUGCUUAAGUUUGGUGUGAAAUCUCCCGGCUCAACCGGGAGGGUGCGCCGAAUACUGAGUGACUAGAGUGCGGGAGAGGAAAGUGGAAUUCCUGGUGUAGCGGUGAAAUGCGUAGAUAUCUGGAGGAACACCGGUGGCGAAGGCGGCAUUCUGGACCAUUACUGACGCUGAGGAGCGAAAGCCAGGGGAGCAAACGGG